UACGGGAGGCUAACAAUGCAAGUCGAGGGGUAACGGAAGUAGCUUGCUACUAGACGACGACCGGCGCACGGGUGAGUAACGCGUAUGUAAUCUGCCUUGUACAGAGGGAUAGCCCAGAGAAAUUUGGAUUAAUACCUCAUAGUAUUACCGAAUCGCAUGAUUCGGUAAUUAAAGCUCCGGCGGUACAAGAUGAACAUGCGUGACAUUAGCUAGUUGGUAAGGUAAUGGCUUACCAAGGCCACGAUGUCUAGGGGUUCUGAGAGGAUGAUCCCCCACACUGGUACUGAGACACGGACCAGACUCCUACGGGAGGCAGCAGUGAGGAAUAUUGGUCAAUGGACGCAAGUCUGAACCAGCCAUCCCGCGUGAAGGAUGACUGCCCUAUGGGUUGUAAACUUCUUUUAUAUGCAAAUAAACCUACUUUCGUGAAAGUAGCUGAAGGUAGCAUAUGAAUAAACACCGGCUAACUCCGUGCCAGCAGCCGCGGUAAUACGGAGGGUGUAAGCGUUAUCCGGAUUUAUUGGGUUUAAAGGGUACGUAGGCGGUAAUAUAAGUCAGUGGUGAAAUCCUGCAGCUCAACUGUUGAACUGCCAUUGAAACUGUAUUACUUGAG
RNAcentral lists this ribosomal RNA (613 nucleotides) under uncultured bacterium. Its description in RNAcentral is "bacterial SSU rRNA". It matches the Rfam family "Bacterial small subunit ribosomal RNA", at positions 38 to 646 of the family's 1533-position model. The record is from RNAcentral.